GGCGUCGCGGAAUGUGGUGUUUAGGAGGACCGUGCGCGUCUGUCCGGUAUCGUCCAAGUCUCCAUGAAUGGGGCCAGCAACCCAGAGAGGGUGUCAGGCCCGUGGGACGAGCCGCGACGGCGUAUUGGGUCUCUCCUUAGAGUCGGGUUGCUUGAGAGUGCAGCCCUAAGCGGGAGGUAAACUCCUCUAAGGCUAAAUACGGCCACGAGACCGAUAGCGAACAAGUACCGCGAGGGAAAGUUGAAAAGAACUUUGAAGAGAGAGUUCAAUAGUGCGUGAAACCGUUCAGGGGGUUAAACGGGUGGGCCCUCGAAGGUCGAACGGUCCCCAUUCCAGUCAUUCGCAGGCCGGUCCGCGUCGUCAUCCGAUCUCGCUACGGGACGGUGCGGCGCGGGUCGCCGGUCUACGAGGGCCGCAAGUUGGGGACCCAGUAGGACUCCGCAACCGUCUGGGAGGCCGUCAGAAGGGUUCCGGUAGGAAGCCCCCUCGGGGGUGGACUCUGGGAUUUCCGGGCGGUCCUCCCGGCCGUAAACCUGCAUUCUCUCGAACGGUGCGUGGGACGAGCCUCGGUUCGCAAGGGCCGGGGUUGUCGGUUUCACAGCCGCCGGGAGACGCGGCGGAGAGUAGAGUCGGGUCCCACCCGACCCGUCUUGAAACACGGACCAAGGAGUCUAACAUGUGCGCGAGUCGUCGGGUUUGACUAAACCCGAAGGCGCAAUGAAAGUGAAGACCGUCCUCGUUGGCGUGUCUAGGGGAGAUCCCGUCCUGCUCCGGUAGCUCGGGCGCAUCCCCGGGGCGU
Molecule: ribosomal RNA, 799 nt
Filed under: Eocyzicus sp. U MS-2013
Lineage: Eukaryota; Metazoa; Arthropoda; Branchiopoda; Diplostraca; Eocyzicidae
Description: partial 28S ribosomal RNA
Rfam family: Eukaryotic large subunit ribosomal RNA
Source: RNAcentral